Long non-coding RNA from Dendroctonus ponderosae (mountain pine beetle), 615 nucleotides. RefSeq lists it as uncharacterized. NCBI's taxonomy places the organism in Eukaryota, Metazoa, Arthropoda, Insecta, Coleoptera, Curculionidae. The record is from RefSeq and is a predicted model, not a curated record. The transcript has 3 exons.
AAAAAUGAUUUACCGCUGCCGGUCGCGAUGUCAAAUAUGUUGCCGAUUGAGACGAUUUGGAAUUCAGCAGGAACAUCGCGUACGCGUAGCCCUUCGAAAAACUUGAGAAACUUUCGAAAAGUUUCCAAAUUCGCGUCGACUAAGUGCUAGAAACUGUGCGGAAAAGUGUUCCACACAUGUUAAGAGAUGAAAUUACUUUAAGACGGCGGCUUUCUUUACGCAGACAAAACUCACGAUGGAAAUCCGGAUCACCAGACUACUAACUGCUGCAACUCAAGGAAAAGCGGGAAGCCGAUUUUUUCGGUUCGACAAGGCGACACACGUUGCUUUCUGUGCCAUUGUUCGAGAUACGGAGUCUCCGCGUUUCAACCUGUAGUGGAUUUCCGGAUUUUCCAGUGCCGGGGAAAAUCGAGAAGUGCGCGAAAUGUCCACUAACACAAGAACAGCCACAUUUCAAAAAAAAUUAUGUCUGUCCAAUGCUUCUUAGAUGAACCAAAACUCCAAUAAAAUGAAUGGAUCGAUAAUCCAAAGCUGCAUUAUUUAAAGUGAUAUUUAAUGCCUUUUCUUUAAAGUAGUAACUUGAAUUUGUUUUAUUUAAUCAUAAAUUAAGCGAGG